This is a long non-coding RNA of Trichomycterus rosablanca, 1426 nucleotides long. RefSeq lists it as uncharacterized. The record is from RefSeq and is a predicted model, not a curated record. The transcript has 2 exons. NCBI's taxonomy places the organism in Eukaryota, Metazoa, Chordata, Actinopteri, Siluriformes, Trichomycteridae.
GCUCGGCUUCGGGUCGGCGUGAGAAAUCGGAGCCGGCGAGCGCUCGACGGAGAAGGUUGCCGUGGAGACGAUUCCGCGUUUUUCGGUCGUCCCUCGAGGGUCGUCAUGGCGACGUGGGCCACUCGUUCGAUGCCUAUCUUUGGCUCGCGUCCUGUGUGUUAAACCGUCGGGGGAACGUUGCGGGUCGUUAACUCACCUGGUCUUCCUCUCCGCCCCCCUCCUCGUCGUAAUUGAGCACGUUCUCGCGGAUGUCCUCCCAGCCGUCGUGGUGAGCCGAGACGUGGUACACUCCCUCCUUCAGGCCCUUGUAGCUCCUCCACCGUGUGUAAAGAAAGAUCCCCAGCAGCAGUACUGCGCACACACACACACACACACACACACUCGAAUAAGCAAACACACCCUCUCAGCUUCCUGCUAUGAUAAGUCUGGGCCCUUUGUGCCCCAUCGUUAGCAUAAACUCGAGCUGAUGGGGUCGAUGGAGGCUGAUCGUGGGUCGGGGAACGUUGCGCUUCGUCUGCUGUGUUAAAACCGGUUACCGAGAGAUCGGCCCAGCUUUGCAUGGGUUACGCUAAGGACCUCUGGAGGAACUGUCGAAUGUGGAGGCGUUCUGUAAUCUGCGAGGUCCUGAGUGUUCCUGCGUGUCUACGUAGACCUGUGCCGAGCGGUCGUCCCAAGAGGCGGUAAUACCAGACUUCUAUACGUCUAUACGACUUGGUUGCUCUGUAUGCUCUUUCACCCUAAUAGACUCCAUAUAGGACUUCCAGAGAUCCCUGUUAUUUGGGUGAUGGACCGUUCUCAGCCAUGAUACCUUCUAAUGAACACAACACUUGUGACCGUUGGGGGUCGAGGGCUUCGCUCGGGAGCCCGACAGUGCGGACCAGCGACCCAACCGGCAACCUUCCGAUUACUAGUCUGAUUACUUGACCACCGAGCUACGACUGCCCUGCCGCGAGUCGACUCUGGUGACUCUACCACACGCGAUGACAUCGACACGACCCACCGAACGGAGCCCGCCGGGCAGACCGACACCCCGCCGGAGUGACCGAAAUACAAACCCGAGCCGAUCCUCUCGGCUCCCGCGGCUCUCGCCGGCAGAGGUGAACGAAGGACGAUACGAGACGAGAGAUCGGACCGUUUGAAGACGAAGGAGAUCCGAUCGUCGACGAUCCUACUGGCCGACCGGACUACUUAAAUUACUCUCGAUGCUGUUCUAAGCAGAUACCCGUACCAUCGAGGCCAAGGACCGGCCCUUGGGAAUAAACGUAGCUCGCAUACCAGUAGUAACGGAAGACCAUGUAUCCAGCUCCUGCAGCAUCAAGCACUGACGAGCGAAUACCGGCACGGGUCUCUGGAGUGCGUCUUCUCGGUUCUUACUAAUUUUCUGACCGAUGAUUUGUUGUUAGCACCAUUAAAAGACUCAUUUUUA